RNAcentral lists this ribosomal RNA (426 nucleotides) under uncultured bacterium. RNAcentral describes it as "bacterial SSU rRNA". It matches the Rfam family "Bacterial small subunit ribosomal RNA", at positions 354 to 796 of the family's 1533-position model. The record is from RNAcentral.
GUGAGGAAUUUUCCGCAAUGGGCGAAAGCCUGACGGAGCAAUGCCGCGUGAAGGAUGAAGGCCUAUGGGUUGUAAACUUCUUUUCUCAGAAAAGAAUUAUGACGGUAUCUGAGGAAUAAGCAUCGGCUAACUCUGUGCCAGCAGCCGCGGUAAGACAGAGGAUGCAAGCGUUAUCAGGAAUGAUUGGGCGUAAAGCGUCUGUAGGUUGUUUAAAAAGUAUUCUGUCAAAGAUUAGGGCUUAACCCUAGAUAGGCAGAAUAAACUUUUAAGCUAGAGUUUGGUAGAGGCAGAGGGAAUUCCCGGUGGAGCGGUGAAAUGCGUAGAUAUCGGGAGGAACACCAAAGGCGAAGGCACUCUGCUGGGCCAAUACUAACACUGAGAGACGAAAGCGAGGGGAGCAAAUGGGAUUAGAAACCCUAGUAGUCC